GACGAACGCUGGCGGCGUGCUUAACACAUGCAAGUCGAGCGGUAAGGCCUUUCGGGGUACACGAGCGGCGAACGGGUGAGUAACACGGGGGUGAUCUGCCCUGCACUUCGGGAUAAGCCGGGGAAACUGGGUCUAAUACCGGAUAUGACCUCCUAUCGCAUGGUGGGUGGUGGAAAGAUUUAUCGGUGCAGGAUGGGCCCGCGGCCUAUCAGCUCGUUGGUGGGGUAAUGGCCUACCAAGGCGACGACGGGUAGCCGACCUGAGAGGGUGACCGGCCACACUGGGACUGAGACACGGCCCAGACUCCUACGGGAGGCAGCAGUGGCGAGUAUUGCACAAUGGGAGAAAGCCUGAUGCAGCGGCGCCGCGUGAGGGAUGACGGCCUUCGGGUUGUAAACCUCUUUCAGCAGGGACGAAGCGCAAGUGACGGUACCUGAAGAAGAAGCACCGGCUAACUACGUG
Molecule: ribosomal RNA, 462 nt
Filed under: uncultured bacterium
Lineage: Bacteria
Description: partial 16S ribosomal RNA
Rfam family: Bacterial small subunit ribosomal RNA
Source: RNAcentral